UACGUAGGGGGCAAGCGUUGUUCGGAAUUACUGGGCGUAAAGCGCACGUAGGCGGAUUGUUAAGUCAGGGGUGAAAUCCCGAGGCUCAACCUCGGAACUGCCUUUGAUACUGGCAAUCUCGAGUCCGGAAGAGGUGAGUGGAAUUCCUAGUGUAGAGGUGAAAUUCGUAGAUAUUAGGAAGAACACCAGUGGCGAAGGCGGCUCACUGGUCCGGUACUGACGCUGAGGUGCGAAAGCGUGGGGAGCAAACAGG
This 253-nucleotide ribosomal RNA is filed under the name uncultured bacterium. RNAcentral's name for it is "partial 16S ribosomal RNA". It matches the Rfam family "Bacterial small subunit ribosomal RNA", at positions 524 to 776 of the family's 1533-position model. The record is from RNAcentral.